RNAcentral lists this ribosomal RNA (237 nucleotides) under uncultured bacterium. RNAcentral's name for it is "partial 16S ribosomal RNA". It matches the Rfam family "Bacterial small subunit ribosomal RNA", at positions 102 to 339 of the family's 1533-position model. The record is from RNAcentral.
ACGGGUGAGUAAUACAUAGGAACGUACCUUUUGGUGGGGGAUAACCACGGGAAACUGUGGCUAAUACCGCAUAAUAACGCAAGUUUAAGGCAGGCCUCUAUUUAUAAGCUUGUGCCAAGAGAACGGCCUAUGUCCCAUUAGCUAGUUGGUUAGGGUAAUGGCCUACCAAGGCUACGAUGGGUAGCUGGUCUGAGAGGAUGAUCAGCCACACUGGGACUGAGACACGGCCCAGACUCC